UGGGGAAUAUUGCACAAUGGGCGCAAGCCUGAUGCAGCCAUGCCGCGUGUAUGAAGAAGGCCUUCGGGUUGUAAAGUACGUUCAGCGGGGAGGAAGGGAGUAAAGUUAAUACCUUUGCUCAUUGACGUUACCCGCAGAAGAAGCACCGGCUAACUCCGUGCCAGCAGCCGCGGUAAUACGGAGGGUGCAAGCGUUAAUCGGAAUUACUGGGCGUAAAGCGCACGCAGGCGGUUUGCUAAGUCAGAUGUGAAAUCCCCGGGCUCAACCUGGGAACUGCAUCUGAUACUGGCAAGCUUGAGUCUCGUAGAGGGGGGUAGAAUUCCAGGUGUAGCGGUGAAAUGCGUAGAGAUGUGGAGGAAUACCGGUGGCGAAGGCGGCCCCCUGGACAAAGACUGACGCUCAGGUGCGAAAGCGUGGGGAGCAAACAGG
This 429-nucleotide ribosomal RNA is filed under the name Chloroflexota bacterium. RNAcentral describes it as "Chloroflexi bacterium partial 16S ribosomal RNA". It matches the Rfam family "Bacterial small subunit ribosomal RNA", at positions 355 to 776 of the family's 1533-position model. Lineage: Bacteria; Bacillati; Chloroflexota. The record is from RNAcentral.